RNAcentral lists this ribosomal RNA (272 nucleotides) under Escherichia coli. RNAcentral's name for it is "partial 23S ribosomal RNA". It matches the Rfam family "Bacterial large subunit ribosomal RNA", at positions 1629 to 1883 of the family's 2925-position model. The record is from RNAcentral. Lineage: Bacteria; Pseudomonadati; Pseudomonadota; Gammaproteobacteria; Enterobacterales; Enterobacteriaceae.
AGGUAACAUCAAAUCGUACCCCAAACCGACACAGGUGGUCAGGUAGAGAAUACCAAGGCGCUUGAGAGAACUCGGGUGAAGGAACUAGGCAAAAUGGUGCCGUAACUUCGGGAGAAGGCACGCUGAUGCGUAGGUGAAGUCCCUUGCGGAUGGAGCUGAAAUCAGUCGAAGAUACCAGCUGGCUGCAACUGUUUAUUAAAAACACAGCACUGUGCAAACACGAAAGUGGACGUAUACGGUGUGACGCCUGCCCGGUGCCGGAAGGUUAAUUG